ACGUACGCUGGCGGCACGCCUAACACAUGCAAGUCGAACGCAGUAGCAAUACUGAGUGGCGAACGGGUGAGUAUAAUGUAGGUAUCUGCCCUUUGGUUUGGAAUAACACGAGGAAACUUGUGCUAAUACCGGAUAAGCCUUCACAGGGAAAGCUUUAGCGCCAAAGGAUGAGCCUGCACUUGAUUAGCUAGUUGGUAAGGUAAUAGCUUACCAAGGCUACGAUCAAUAGCUGAUCUGAGAGGAUGAUCAGCCACAUUGGGACUGAGACACGGCCCAGACUCCUACGGGAGGCAGCAGUGGGGAAUCUUGCACAAUGGGGGAAACCCUGAUGCAGCGAUGCCGCGUGAGUGAAGAAGGCCUUUGGGUUGUAAAGCUCUUUCGUCGGGGAAGAAAAUGACUGUACCCGAAUAAGAAGGUCCGGCUAACUUCGUGCCAGCAGCCGCGGUAAUACGAAGGGACCUAGCGUAGUUCGGAAUUACUGGGCUUAAAGAGCUCGUAGGUGGUUAGAAAAGUUAGUGGUGAAAUCCCAAGGCUUAACCUUGGAACUGCCAUUAAAACUUUUUAACUAGAGUAUGAUAGAGGUAAGCGGAAUUUCUAGUGUAGAGGUGAAAUUCGUAGAUAUUAGAAAGAACACCAAUUGCGAAGGCAGCUUUCUGGAUCAUUACUGACACUGAGGAGCGAAAGCAUGGGUAGCGAAGAGGAUUAGAUACCCUCGUAGUCCAUGCCGUAAACGAUGUGUGCUAGACGUUGGGAAAUUUAUUUUUCAGUGUCGCAGCAAAAGCGUUAAGCACACCGCCUGGGGAGUACGACCGCAAGGUUAAAACUCAAAUGAAUUGACGGGGACCCGCACAAGUAGUGGAGCAUGUGGUUUAAUUCGAAGAUACGCGCAGAACCUUACCAACACUUGACAUGUUCGUCGCGACUCUAAGAGAUUAGAGUUUUCGGUUCGGCCGGACGAAACACAGGUGCUGCAUGGCUGUCGUCAGCUCGUGUCGUGAGAUGUUGGGUUAAGUCCCGCAACGAGCGCAACCCUUACUUUUAGUUGCCACCAUUAAGUUGAGCACUCUAAAAGAACUGCCAGUGAUAAGCUGGAGGAAGGUGGGGAUGACGUCAAGUCCUCAUGGCCCUUACGUGUUGGGCUACACACGUGCUACAAUGGUACCUACAGUGAGAUGCUAAGAUGCGAGUCUAAGCUAAUCCCUAAAAGGUACCUCAGUUCGGAUUGCACUCUGCAACUCGAGUGCAUGAAGCUGGAAUUACUAGUAAUCGUGGAUCAGCGCGCCACGGUGAAUACGUUCCCGGGUCUUGUACACACCGCCCG
This 1321-nucleotide ribosomal RNA is filed under the name uncultured Alphaproteobacteria bacterium. Its description in RNAcentral is "bacterial SSU rRNA". It matches the Rfam family "Bacterial small subunit ribosomal RNA", at positions 29 to 1396 of the family's 1533-position model. Lineage: Bacteria; Pseudomonadati; Pseudomonadota; Alphaproteobacteria. The record is from RNAcentral.